Molecule: ribosomal RNA, 772 nt
Filed under: uncultured bacterium
Lineage: Bacteria
Description: bacterial SSU rRNA
Rfam family: Bacterial small subunit ribosomal RNA
Source: RNAcentral
AGAGUUUGAUCAUGGCUCAGGACGAACGCUGGCGGCGCGCCUAAUACAUGCAAGUCGAGCGAGAACCAGGACUUCGGUCCUGGGGAGAGCGGCGAACGGGUGCGUAUCACGUGAGCAACCUGCCUCGGAGACCGGAAUAACUCGAGGAAACUCGGGCUAAUGCCGGAUGCCCUCGGUGGACCGCAUGGUCCGGCGAGGAAAUGGAUUCCGCUCCGAGAUGGGCUCGCGGCCUAUCAGCUUGUUGGUGGGGUAACGGCCUACCAAGGCAACGACGGGUAGCUGGUCUGAGAGGACGAUCAGCCACACUGGGACUGAGACACGGCCCAGACUCCUACGGGAGGCAGCAGUAGGGAAUCUUGCGCAAUGGGGGAAACCCUGACGCAGCGACGCCGCGUGCGGGAUGAAGGCCUUCGGGUCGUAAACCGCUUUCAGCAGGGACGAAAUUGACGGUACCUGCAGAAGAAGGCCCGGCCAACUACGUGCCAGCAGCCGCGGUGAUACGUAGGGGUCUAGCGUUGUCCGGAAUUAUUGGGCGUAAAGAGCUCGUAGGCGGUUCGGCAAGUCGGAUGUGAAAUCUCCACGCUUAACGUGGAGGGGCCAUUCGAAACUGCCGUGACUCGAGUCCGGUAGGGGAGUUCGGAAUUCCCGGUGUAGCGGUGAAAUGCGCAGAUAUCGGGAGGAACACCAGUGGCGAAGGCGGAACUCUGGGCCGGAACUGACGCUGAGGAGCGAAAGCGUGGGGAGCGAACAGGAUUAGAUACCCCCGUAGUCC